This 290-nucleotide long non-coding RNA is filed under the name Elaeis guineensis (African oil palm). RNAcentral's name for it is "long non-coding RNA (EGUI_LNC079237)". Lineage: Eukaryota; Viridiplantae; Streptophyta; Magnoliopsida; Arecales; Arecaceae. The record is from RNAcentral.
GGGAUCUCACAAUCCCCUGUUGGCUAGCCGACCGGUGGUGCAACCGACGUGGGACGGCCAUCGGCAAGAGGGGGGCAACCCAACAACGAGAGGAGGGCCAAACAGGUGGUCGGCGCCAACCACCGAUGUCGGAAAUCAAAGAAAAACAAGCAAAAAUAGAGGUUCUUCCCGCAACAAAAUCCGGCGACUCCGGUCGUCGGUGAGCGUGCACACAGGCAUGGAAAGGAAAGGGAAGAAGAGAGGAAGGGGAGGAGGCUUACCUCCGACGUCGGUGAGGCUUUUCCGGUGAG